This 250-nucleotide ribosomal RNA is filed under the name uncultured Porphyromonas sp. RNAcentral's name for it is "partial 16S ribosomal RNA". It matches the Rfam family "Bacterial small subunit ribosomal RNA", at positions 89 to 339 of the family's 1533-position model. Lineage: Bacteria; Pseudomonadati; Bacteroidota; Bacteroidia; Bacteroidales; Porphyromonadaceae. The record is from RNAcentral.
CGGCGACCGGCGAAUGGGUGAGUAACACGUAUGCAACUUACCUCUUAGUGGUGAAUAACUCGAUGAAAGUCGGACUAAUACACCAUACUCUCCUUAGAUCACAUGAGAAGAGGAGGAAAGAUUAAUCGCUAAGAGAUAGGCCUGCGUUCCAUUAGCUAGUUGGUAAGGUAACGGCUUACCAAGGCAACGAUGGAUAGGGGGACUGAGAGGUUGACCCCCCACAUUGACACUGAGAUACGGGUCAAACUCC